This 318-nucleotide ribosomal RNA is filed under the name Triticum aestivum (bread wheat). RNAcentral's name for it is "partial small subunit ribosomal RNA". Lineage: Eukaryota; Viridiplantae; Streptophyta; Magnoliopsida; Poales; Poaceae. The record is from RNAcentral.
AUGUCCACAGCAGAGCAAGAGGGAGCAAAAUUUACUGCUGUCGAUCUGCAGCCGUCCAUUGACUUCUUUAGAAGGAAUAAUCUGCAGACGGAAUUCUUUUCUAUUGGGCCAAACCAAUAUGUGGUUACCUCAAUCCACGAGCACUGGUUUUCUGCUCGUUGCGUUAACACAACACAGCCAGGAGGUGAAGGAGUUAUAAUUAUGCAGAUUGGAGCAUACUUGUUAGUCUCUAUUUUGUAAGUUUCUGUUGGUUCGGCUUCACGGGCAAUGGUGGCUGUUGAUCAGUUUGUAUGGCACUUUAACCGGAGAACACAUUAA